GAUGAACGCUGGCGGCGUGCCUAAUACAUGCCAGUAGAACGCUGAAGGAAGGAGCUUGCUCUUUCCGGAUGAGUUGCGAACGGGUGAGUAACGCGUAGGUAACCUGCCUGGUAGCGGGGGAUAACUAUUGGAAACGAUAGCUAAUACCGCAUAACAGUAGAUGUUGCAUGAUAUCUACUUAAAAGGUGCAAUUGCACCACUACCAGAUGGACCUGCGUUGUAUUAGCUAGUUGGUGAGGUAACGGCUCACCAAGGCGACGAUACAUAGCCGACCUGAGAGGGUGAUCGGCCACACUGGGACGGAGACACGGCCCAGACUCCUACGGGAGGCAGCAGUAGGGAAUCUUCGGCAAUGGACGGAAGUCUGACCGAGCAACGCCGCGUGAGUGAAGAAGGUUUUCGAAUCGUAAAGCUCUGUUGUAAGAGAAGAACGAGUGUGAGAGUGGAAAGUUCACACUGUGACGGUAUCUUACCAGAAAGGGACGGCUAACUACGUG
RNAcentral lists this ribosomal RNA (497 nucleotides) under uncultured bacterium. RNAcentral describes it as "partial 16S ribosomal RNA". It matches the Rfam family "Bacterial small subunit ribosomal RNA", at positions 28 to 507 of the family's 1533-position model. The record is from RNAcentral.